This 497-nucleotide ribosomal RNA is filed under the name uncultured bacterium. RNAcentral describes it as "partial 16S ribosomal RNA". It matches the Rfam family "Bacterial small subunit ribosomal RNA", at positions 28 to 507 of the family's 1533-position model. The record is from RNAcentral.
GAUGAACGCUGGCGGCGUGCUUAAUACAUGCAAGUCGAGCGAACAGACGAGGAGCUUGCUCCUCUGACGUUAGCGGCGGACGGGUGAGUAACACGUGGAUAACCUACCUAUAAGACUGGGAUAACUUCGGGAAACCGGAGCUAAUACCGGAUAAUAUAUUGAACCGCAUGGUUCAAUAGUGAAAGACGGUUUUGCUGUCACUUAUAGAUGGAUCCGGGCUGCUUUAGCUAGUUGGUACGGUAACGGCUUACCACGGCAACGAUGCGUAGACGACGUGAGAGGGGGAUCGGCCGCACUGGAGCUGGGACACGGACCAGGGUCCUGAGGGAGGGAGCAGAAGGGAAUCGUACGCAGUGGGGGAAAGCCUGACGGAGCAGGGCCGCGUGAGUGAUGAAAGUCUUCGGAGCGUGAAACUCUGUUAUUAGGGGAGAACAAAUGUGUAAGGAACUGUGCACGUAUUGACGGUACCUGGUCAGAAAGCCACGGCUAACUACGUG